GGGGAAUAUUGGACAAUGGGCGCAAGCCUGAUCCAGCCAUGCCGCGUGAGUGAUGAAGGCCUUAGGGUUGUAAAGCUCUUUUGCCAGGGAAGAUAAUGACUGUACCUGGAGAAUAAGCCCCGGCUAACUUCGUGCCAGCAGCCGCGGUAAGACGAAGGGGGCUAGCGUUGUUCGGAAUUACUGGGCGUAAAGCGCACGUAGGCGGCCUUUCAAGUCAGAUGUGAAAGCCCCGAGCUUAACUCGGGAAAUGCAUUUGAUACUGUUGGGCUAGAGACCGGGAGAGGAUAGCGGAAUUCCCAGUGUAGAGGUGAAAUUCGUAGAUAUUGGGAAGAACACCAGUGGCGAAGGCGGCUAUCUGGACCGGUACUGACGCUGAGGUGCGAAAGCGUGGGGAGCAAA
This 399-nucleotide ribosomal RNA is filed under the name uncultured bacterium. RNAcentral describes it as "bacterial SSU rRNA". It matches the Rfam family "Bacterial small subunit ribosomal RNA", at positions 356 to 772 of the family's 1533-position model. The record is from RNAcentral.